Populus nigra (black poplar) is the source of this 826-nucleotide long non-coding RNA. RefSeq lists it as uncharacterized. NCBI's taxonomy places the organism in Eukaryota, Viridiplantae, Streptophyta, Magnoliopsida, Malpighiales, Salicaceae. The transcript is spliced from 2 exons. The record is from RefSeq and is a predicted model, not a curated record.
GGUAUUGCUGUUAUCACUAAGUUGAUCAUAAUUUGAUUGGUCUGAUUUUCAACUUGAUUGAUUUGCUUCUCUAUCUUUCUUGUCUCUUUUCUGAGCUCUGACCGAAAGCCGUCACUUAGAUUUUGUGAAUUAUUUUAUGGGAUUUCAGGUGUUGAAUUUGAUCAUCAUCUGAUGGCUCUGUAUUUCAUUUGAUUGGAUUUUUAAGCAGACCGGCAAGUGUGAUAUGCAGCUUGUCAUCUCUCUGCGGACCUGUUGCAACAUAAUUGUUUCAGACUUUUUUAUAGUGUAGCUGCGCAGUUUGGCUGCUCCGAGAAAUGCAGCAUGUCAUUGUAUAUAGCACUGUUAGUCCAUGGUGAUGGUUUUGUUGCAUGUAUGUGUUGGUUGGGCUGAGGAUGUGAAUUAUCGAUCAAAUUUGCCAUCAGCAACGCUGCUGACUUUCUACAGCUAGGGUUUUAUAUGUGCUUAGUAGCCAGCUAGGCAACAUUUGUACGAUGCAGGGAAAAUAUCUCAAGCUGGUCAUCUUUAUCUGUUGAUGCCUGCAACAACUCUUAGCGAUUGCUUCCUUUAUAAGAUUCCGAAGCUCAGUUGGCUUUUCCUGGAACUUUAAAGGGAGGUAGGCACUCUUGAUUUCGGUUUUAUGUCAAACACAAUCUGUCCUGCCCCAGUGAACCACCAUGAUGACCCAUUUAUGUGCCGCAGUGCAGAAAUAUUAAUGCAUAUCAGUUUAUGACAUCAACAAAUCCGAUUGAGGGCUCAUCAAGUCCAUUACAAGUUCAAGAACUAAAAUAACUAAAGUUGUUUUGAGUUUAAUAUUUUUUAUUAUCUA